CUGCGAGUUGGAGCGGACUGGAAUUCCGCUUCCCUUCCGUCCCGAAGUUUCUGCGCGGUGUCAACACACACAGUAGGACUCCUCUGCUGAAAAAGCUGUUUAGUAUCGCUAAGGGUUUACCAGAGGAAUGGCAAUGAAUUAAACGUCUCAACAGCAGUGAGAAGUAGUGCGAGUGUGACUUUUCACCUCCAGUAUCUUGAUCUCUGUGCUGUCCUUCAGUGCUGA
RNAcentral lists this long non-coding RNA (225 nucleotides) under Astyanax mexicanus (Mexican tetra). RNAcentral describes it as "lncRNA (ENSAMXG00005008406.1)". Lineage: Eukaryota; Metazoa; Chordata; Actinopteri; Characiformes; Acestrorhamphidae. The record is from RNAcentral.